UUUAACUGAGCGUUCAGUUACUUGACGUAGACCCGAAACCGGGCGACCUACCCAUGAGCAGGAUGAAGCGAAAGUAAAAUUUCGUGGAGGUCCGAACCCACGAGCGUUGAAAAGCUCGGGGAUGACUUGUGGGUAGCGGUGAAAUUCCAAUCGAGCCCGGAGAUAGCUGGUUCUCCCCGAAAUAGCUUUAGGGCUAGCCUCAAGGUGAGAGAUACGGAGGUAGAGCACUGAAUGUCCUAGGGGGUAUUGCACCUACCGAAGACUAUCAAACUCCGAAUGCCGUCAUCUUAUACUUGGGAGUCAGACUGUGGGUGAUAAGAUUCAUAGUCGAAAGGGCAACAGCCCAGAUCGUCAGCUAAGGUCCCUAAAUGUAAGUUAAGUGGUAAAGGAUGUGGGAUUGCACAGACAACCAGGAUGUUGGCUUAGAAGCAGCCACUCAUUCAAAGAGUGCGUAAUAGCUCACUGGUCGAGUGAUCCUGCGCCGAAGAUUUCCGGGGCUAAAACUUACUACCGAAGCUACGGCAUCAGUAAUGAUGGGUAGGGGAGCUUCCCAUACGGGUUGAAGCAUGACCGUAAGGACAUGUGGACAGUAUGGGAGUGAGAAUGUUGGCAUGAGUAGCGAGAUGUGGGUGAGAAUCCCACAGGCCGUAAACCCAAGGUUUCCAGGGGAAGGUUCGUCCGCCCUGGGUUAGUCGGGACCUAAGCUGAGGCCGAAAGGCGUAGGUGAUGGACAACAGGUUGAUAUUCCUGUACUACCGAUAACCGUUUGAGAGAAGGGAUGACACAGUAGGAUAAGCUAAGCACACUGUUGGUUAUGUGUGCCCAAGCAUUGAGGCAGUCAAAGUAGGCAAAUCCGCUUUGAUAAUGCUGGGAUGUGAUGGGGAGCGAAAUUUAGUAGCGAAGUAGCUGAUUUCACACUGUCAAGAAAAGUCUCUAUCGAGGUUAAAGGUACCCGUACCGCAAACCGACACAGGUGGGUGAGGAGAGUAUCCUAAGGCCAGCGAGAGAACUGUUGUUAAGGAACUCGGCAAAAUGACCCCGUAACUUAGGGAUAAGGGGUGCCACCAUCAGGUGGCCGCAGAGAAUAGGCCCAAGCGACUGUUUACCAAAAACAUAGGUUUCUGCUAAGUCGCAAGACGAUGUAUAGGAGCUGACGCCUGCCCGGUGCUGGAAGGUUAAGGGGAUCUGUUAGAGCAAUCGAAGCAGUGAACUUAAGCCCCAGUAAACGGCGGCCGUAACUAUAACGGUCCUAAGGUAGCGAAAUUCCUUGUCGGGUAAGUUCCGACCCGCACGAAAGGCGUAACGAUUUGGGCACUGUCUCAACAACAGACUCGGUGAAAUUGUAAUUCCGGUGAAGAUGCCGGAUACCUGCGACAGGACGGAAAGACCCCAUGGAGCUUUACUGUAGCUUGACAUUGGGUCUUGGUACUACAUGUACAGGAUAGGUGGGAGGCUUUGAAACCAGGACGCCAGUUUUGGCGGAGCCAUCCUUGGGAUACCACCCUUGUAGUACUGGGACUCUAACCAUAGGCCAUGAAUCUGGUCUUGGGACACUGUCAGG
Molecule: ribosomal RNA, 1561 nt
Filed under: Clostridioides difficile
Lineage: Bacteria; Bacillati; Bacillota; Clostridia; Peptostreptococcales; Peptostreptococcaceae
Description: partial 23S ribosomal RNA
Rfam family: Bacterial large subunit ribosomal RNA
Source: RNAcentral